This 255-nucleotide ribosomal RNA is filed under the name uncultured bacterium. Its description in RNAcentral is "partial 16S ribosomal RNA". It matches the Rfam family "Bacterial small subunit ribosomal RNA", at positions 524 to 776 of the family's 1533-position model. The record is from RNAcentral.
UACAGAGGUCUCAAGCGUUGUUCGGAUUCAUUGGGCGUAAAGCGCGCGUAGGCGGGUUGGCAAGUCUGCUGUGAAAGCCCGGGGCUUAACUCCGGAGGGUCGGUGGAUACUGCCAGUCUUGAAGGUGCUAGGGAGAGAUGGAAUUACCGGUGUAGCGGUGAAAUGCGUAGAUAUCGGUAGGAACACCGGUGGCGAAGGCGGCCUGCUGGGCAGUUUAGCUGACACUGAGGCGCGACAGCGUGGGGAGCAAACAGG